This 478-nucleotide ribosomal RNA is filed under the name uncultured bacterium. Its description in RNAcentral is "partial 16S ribosomal RNA". It matches the Rfam family "Bacterial small subunit ribosomal RNA", at positions 28 to 523 of the family's 1533-position model. The record is from RNAcentral.
GACGAACGCUGGCGGCGUGCUUAACACAUGCAAGUCGAACGGUAAGGCCCUUCGGGGUACACGAGUGGCGAACGGGUGAGUAACACGUGGGUGAUCUGCCCUGCACUUCGGGAUAAGCCUGGGAAACUGGGUCUAAUACCGGAUAGGACCACUGCCUGCAUGGGUGGUGGUGGAAAGCUUUUGCGGUGUGGGAUGGGCCCGCGGCCGAUCAGCUUGUUGGUGGGGUGAUGGCCUACCAAGGCGACGACGGGUAGCCGGCCUGAGAGGGUGGCCGGCCACACUGGGACUGAGAUACGGCCCAGACUCCUACGGGAGGCAGCAGUGGGGAAUAUUGCACAAUGGGCGCAAGCCUGAUGCAGCGACGCCGCGUGAGGGAUGACGGCCUUCGGGUUGUAAACCUCUUUCAGCACCGACGAAGCGCAAGUGACGGUAGGUGCAGAAGAAGGACCGGCCAACUACGUGCCAGCCGCCGCAGUAA